This 253-nucleotide ribosomal RNA is filed under the name uncultured bacterium. RNAcentral's name for it is "partial 16S ribosomal RNA". It matches the Rfam family "Bacterial small subunit ribosomal RNA", at positions 524 to 776 of the family's 1533-position model. The record is from RNAcentral.
UACAGAGGGUGCGAGCGUUAAUCGGAAUUACUGGGCGUAAAGCGUGCGUAGACGGUUAUUUAAGUCGGAUGUGAAAGCCCCGGGCUCAACCUGGGAAUUGCAUUCGAGACUGAAUAGCUAGGGUGCGGUAGAGGGAAGCGGAAUUUCCGGUGUAGCGGUGAAAUGCGUAGAUAUCUGCAGGAACACCCGUGGCGAAAGCGGCGCGCUGGACCACUACUGACGCUGAGGAACGAAAGCUAGGGGAGCAAACAGG